UACGAAGGGGGCUAGCGUUGUUCGGAAUUACUGGGCGUAAAGGGCGCGCAGGCGGCGAGGCGAGUUGGGCGUGAAAGGCCUGGGCUUAACCCGGGAAUGGCGUUCGAUACUGCCUUGCUUGAGUGUGGGAGAGGAGAGUGGAAUUCCCAGUGUAGAGGUAAAAUUCGUAGAUAUUGGGAAGAACACCAGUGGCGAAGGCGGCUCUCUGGACCACAACUGACGCUGAGGCGCGAAAGCGUGGGGAGCAAACAGG
RNAcentral lists this ribosomal RNA (253 nucleotides) under uncultured bacterium. RNAcentral describes it as "partial 16S ribosomal RNA". It matches the Rfam family "Bacterial small subunit ribosomal RNA", at positions 524 to 776 of the family's 1533-position model. The record is from RNAcentral.